Molecule: long non-coding RNA, 415 nt
Filed under: Vigna radiata
Lineage: Eukaryota; Viridiplantae; Streptophyta; Magnoliopsida; Fabales; Fabaceae
Description: long non-coding RNA (VRAD_LNC014805)
Source: RNAcentral
AUGAUGCCUAUAGGUCUUCCACCUAAAACCAUUAAUGCUAUCUAGGAAUACCAAACAACAAGCAAUAUAGUUUCUUAAUUUAAGUUUUAUGACAUCCUCUUCAUCAGAGCUUCCAGCUGCAUAAGUACACUUUAUCAUGCUUUUGCUUUUCUAAUGUGUAAGUUUGGAACUUUUUCCAAAUUCACGAACACAUCUCUUCUCAAUAUGAAAGGCUCCCACACGCAACAAAUAAUGAAAUAAUCAACUCACAACAUAAGCACCUCANACAAAUGGACAUUUCAAGUUCUAGCUAAGCAGAAACCAACUUUGUAUCUGACUGUUUAUUAUUUUUCUUCUAUUUGAGGGGUUAUCAUUUGUGAAGACGUGACUGUAAUCACUAUACAGUUUAAAUUACUUUUUCCCUUUUAUCAUCAUC